GAUGAACGCUGGCGGCGUGCCUAAUACAUGCAAGUCGAGCGAACGGACGAGAAGCUUGCUUCUCUGAUGUUAGCGGCGGACGGGUGAGUAACACGUGGAUAACCUACCUAUAAGACUGGGAUAACUUCGGGAAACCGUAGCUAAUACCGGAUAAUAUUUUGAACCGCAUGGUUCAAAAGUGAAAGGCGGUCUUGCUGUCACUUAUAGAUGGAUCCGCGCUGCAUUAGCUAGUUGGUAAGGUAACGGCUUACCAAGGCAACGAUGCAUAGCCGACCUGAGAGGGUGAUCGGCCACACUGGAACUGAGACACGGUCCAGACGCCUACGGGAGGAAGCAGUAGGGAAUCUUCGGCAAUGGGCGAAAGCCUGACGGAGCAACGCCGCGUGAGUGAUGAAGGUCUUCGGAUCGUAAAACUCUGUUAUUAGGGAAGAACAUAUGUGUAAGUAACUGUGCACAUCUUGACGGUACCUAAUCAGAAAGCCACGGCUAACUACGUG
Molecule: ribosomal RNA, 497 nt
Filed under: uncultured bacterium
Lineage: Bacteria
Description: partial 16S ribosomal RNA
Rfam family: Bacterial small subunit ribosomal RNA
Source: RNAcentral